Spinacia oleracea (spinach) is the source of this 991-nucleotide long non-coding RNA. RefSeq lists it as uncharacterized. The record is from RefSeq and is a predicted model, not a curated record. The transcript has 2 exons. Lineage: Eukaryota; Viridiplantae; Streptophyta; Magnoliopsida; Caryophyllales; Amaranthaceae.
AGUUCAACUUUUUGAAAUAACCACCUUAUAUGUUUUUUUUUUUUAAAAACCACCUUAAAUUUCCAAAGUUUAAGAAAUCACCACCUUCUGUUAACUUCCGUCAAAUGUUCCGCCAGUGGGGCCCACAUCCAACAGUAGAGCUGGCAAAAGCUGACCCAACCCACCAACCCGACCCGAACCCAACCCGUUAUUAUUGGGUUGGGUCAAGAUUUUUCAACCCGUUUAACUAAAUAGGUCGACCUAACCCAACCCGUUUAAUAAAUGGGUUGGGUCAGGUUGAAAACUCCAACCCGAAAGCAACCCGCCUAACCCGUUUAAUUAUUGGGUCACAGGUCAACCCGCCAACCCGUCAACCUGUCAACCCGCUAACCCAACCCGCUAACCCGUUUAGAUGUUUUUUUAAAAAAUUACUAAAAAUCUUUAAUUAUUUCGGGCUUCUUUUGUUUGGGCUUUAGCCUUUAGGUCUAAGAAAACCCUAGAAUUUCUCACGCCUAUCUCUCAAUCUCUCAGUCUCUCUCUCACACACUGUCUCUCUCUCUAAACUGAAACGGUGAAACCCUAAUCUCUCACACGGCGCCUCCUCCACUCACCACUGCGCCGCUCGUCGAUCCCCGACGACGCUAGUCGAUCACCCGCUCUGAUCCAACAUCCAAUUGAACAUGUGAAGGUUAAAAAUUCAGAUAAUUGGAGGAGCUAUAUGGAGCCAUCAUGAAGUUGAAGGUGGAAGAACAAGUUGACGCGGUCGUGAAUGUGGAUGGAGUCACCCAUAGUUGCUUCACCAUGAACUUAAGAUUCCAACUAGCUUAAUUUCUUAAGAUUCCAACUAGCUUAAUUUGAACAAUAUAUUGAUGCGUUGUAAUCUACUUGAAUUUUAGUUUUAUGUUGGAUUUGGCCAUGUAUUAAACUUUAAUUUAAGAUUUGGUGAUGUAUUAAGCCUUAUGACUUGUGACAGGGCAUUAAUUAAUGGCAAAUAUAGCCUGUUUGAGACUUA